RNAcentral lists this long non-coding RNA (322 nucleotides) under Prunus persica (peach). Its description in RNAcentral is "long non-coding RNA (PPER_LNC006509)". The record is from RNAcentral. Lineage: Eukaryota; Viridiplantae; Streptophyta; Magnoliopsida; Rosales; Rosaceae.
UGGAAAUGAGGCAAUAUCUACGAUACCUGGAUUUAAUCAGAUAUGUUUUGAGUUCAACUUGCUAAAACACCCAACCCUAAUACUCUGAUGAAUGAUUGGGUUAUGAUCUUUCACACCUGAAACUGACCAAACAUAAAUAGAAACAAAUCCAAUAAAGAUCCCAGGUGGUUGAGAAGAUGGAUUAGGAGGCCUAUAUUCUUUUGCAAUAUUCUAGGCCCAUAUAUAUCAACCCCAACAUAGAGAUUUGUAUUCAAGUAAAGAAGGGUGUAGAUGCUUCAAAGCGAAAUUCUAUACACUACUACAUUUUACUAUUUGCCUAACG